AUCAAUCUGGACCGUUUAUGAAUUAGUUACUAUGCAGUCCAUUCUUCUAUAAAUAGAAGCUCAUUCCUUCAUUAUUUCUUACGAAUUCACUGAAACUCUAGAGAGAGAAACUAUAGAGAGUUCUUCUUCUAUAAUCUUGAGCGUAUUUCUUUAGAGUUUAACAAAGCUUUGAGCGUAGUGCAAGUUUUCUUCGAGUAUAUCCUCGCCUUACCAGUCGAAGUACUCUUCUUUUAAAGGUAAGGGAUAUUAUAUGUUGUACCUGUAAGGGGUAUUAUUCUUUCGUAUUCAUGAAGAGAACUUCUGCUAUUCCAUUCUUUAUUAUUCUGUUGGAAUAACCUGUAUACGCGAAUUACCGUAUACCUGGUGAUUUCUGUUGUUAUUAUAUUCUUUAUUAUUCUGUCGGAAUAUCCUGUCGGUUCGUACUAUGCCUGACCUGGUUCUAUUAUUUAUUAUUCUGUUGGAAUAACCUGUCUGUGUGGUCUAUCGCAUGCAUGGUGAUUUCUGUUGUUAUUCCAUUCUUUAUUAUUCUGUUGGAAUAACCUGUCUGUGUGGUCUAUCGCAUGCAUGGUGAUUUCUGUUGUUAUUCCAUUCUUUAUUAUUCUGUUGGAAUAUCCUGUAGGUGCGAAUUUUGCCUGACCUGGUUUCGUUCUUUAUUAUUCUUUUGGAAUAACCUGUCUGUGCGGUCUAUCGCAUGCAUGGUGAUUUCUAUUGUUAUUCCAUUCUUUAUUAUUCUGUCAGAAUAUCCUAUCUGUGCAUUUACGCCGGACCUGGUUACAUUAUUUAUUAUUCUAUUGGGAAUAACCUGUCUGUGCAGUCUAUCGCACGCAUGGUGAAUUCUUCUGUUAUUCAAUUCUUUAUUAUUUUGUUGGAAUAACCUGUCUAUGUGGAUUACCACAUGCAUGGUGAAUGAUCCUUUGUAUUUCAUUCCUUAUUAAAUUGUGGAAAUGAUCAGUUUACGUGGAUUAUGAUGAAAGUCAUAAUAAAAGCAUUGGACUGAUGAAAAUCAUGGGUAUAUGUGGUAUUAGUAAGUGUUAUAAUGAGUUAUGUUGGUUAUUAUGUGAAAACAUGAAAGUUUCUUAGAAAUCACAAAGGGUUGAAAAAUUAGAUUUUGGUAAAAAUGGAACAUGAAAUUCAAUUGACCAUAUCUCCUAUUAUAUUUCAAAUUUUUGAGUGUGGUCAAGUUUUAGAAUUAGAUCUAUGAGUUUUCAAACUUAUCCAAGUGGAAUCACUGGAAAAGGUAUUGUAGAUUUUCGUGUGGGCUGAUUUUAGCGAAGGAGUCAAAAACUGACAAUUUCAAAAAAGCUACUGCCCAUAUUUUUAAAAUGGCAUUUUCGGCCAUUUAAAUUGUGAGAAAAAUUCUGGACUUUUGGGACAUGAAAAUAUAUGGUAUGAAGUACCUACUGUACAAAAAUGAGCUCAUUCCGACUUAAAAUGAGCAAGUUAUGACCAUUUCAAUAUUUAGGUUUUUUCGACGAAAAAUGCUAUAACCGUAGUUCUAUAAAUCCGAUGACUAUGAAAUUUAAACUGGAAGCUCACGUUAACAUGUGUAAGAUCCUGCCAAGAUUUGAGAAUUUCUGGAGUUAAACUUGAGGUAACUAAUUUCUUAAGGAAUUAAUUAGAAAUUGAUUUUUGAAAAAUAGUAAAUGAAUUUUAAAAAUUUCGAGAAAAAUAUAUGUUCAAUAUGGGACUAUAUUCUGCCUAAUCCCAGAAAAGAAUAAUUUUUGGCACUGAUUUGGUAUUUUUCCUGAAAAUAGUUUAGUUACGAACAUAUGAGUUAAAUAUGUUAUGUGAUGUCGAAGAAUUGGUAAAUAGGAUUUUAGGGCUUGAAAAUCCUAUAUAAAGUAUGUGCAGAUUUUUGAUGAGUAAUUUGAUUAUUGGUGAUGAAAUCUUAUGAGUAUGAC
RNAcentral lists this long non-coding RNA (1901 nucleotides) under Panax ginseng (ginseng). RNAcentral's name for it is "long non-coding RNA (PGIN_LNC010934)". Lineage: Eukaryota; Viridiplantae; Streptophyta; Magnoliopsida; Apiales; Araliaceae. The record is from RNAcentral.